GGGCGAAUGGUUUAGUGGUAUAAUACUCCCUUAGCAUCUUGAGAGAUUGGGAGUGGUCCGGGGUUCGAUUCCCCGUUUGUCCA
This 83-nucleotide transfer RNA is filed under the name Cordyceps militaris. Its description in RNAcentral is "tRNA-Ala". It matches the Rfam family "tRNA". Rfam says of the family: Transfer RNA (tRNA) molecules are approximately 80 nucleotides in length. Their secondary structure includes four short double-helical elements and three loops (D, anti-codon, and T loops). Lineage: Eukaryota; Fungi; Ascomycota; Sordariomycetes; Hypocreales; Cordycipitaceae. The record is from RNAcentral. RNAcentral also lists the same sequence under 1 other name.